Molecule: ribosomal RNA, 460 nt
Filed under: uncultured bacterium
Lineage: Bacteria
Description: partial 16S ribosomal RNA
Rfam family: Bacterial small subunit ribosomal RNA
Source: RNAcentral
CCUACGGGAGGCAGCAGUGAGGAAUAUUGGUCAAUGGACGAGAGUCUGAACCAGCCAAGUAGCGUGAAGGAUGACUGCCCUAUGGGUUGUAAACUUCUUUUAUAUGGGAAUAAAAUGUUCCACGUGUGGGAGUUUGUAUGUACCAUAUGAAUAAGGAUCGGCUAACUCCGUGCCAGCAGCCGCGGUAAUACGGAGGAUCCGAGCGUUAUCCGGAUUUAUUGGGUUUAAAGGGAGCGUAGAUGGGUUGUUAAGUCAGUUGUGAAAGUUUGCGGCUCAACCGUAAAAUUGCAAUUGAUACUGGCAGUCUUGAGUAGAGUUGAGGUAGGCGGAAUUCGUGGUGUAGCGGUGAAAUGCUUAGAUAUCACGAAGAACUCCGAUUGCGAAGGCAGCUUACUAACCUGACACUGACAUUGAUGCUCGAAAGUGUGGGUAUCAAACAGGAUUAGAUACCCGAGUAGUC